AAUGGGGGAACCCACUGUUUUUAAUCGAGCAGUACGUUUACGUGAAUACAUAGCGUAAUCGUGGCACACCCAGGGAACUGAAACAUCUAAGUACCUGGAGGAAGAGAAAGAAAUUCGAUUCCCUGAGUAGCGGCGAGCGAAACGGGAAGAGCCCAAACCAAGAAGCUUGCUUCUUGGGGUUGUAGGACACUCAAUACGGAGUUACAAAGGAACGAGUUAGGUGAAGCGAUCUGGAAAGAUCCGCCGCAGCAGGUAAAAGCCCUGUAGCCGAAAGUUCGUUCUCUCCUGAGUGGAUCCUGAGUACGGCGGAACACGUGAAAUUCCGUCGGAAUCUGGGAGGACCAUCUCCCAAGGCUAAAUACUACCUAGUGACCGAUAGUGAACCAGUACCGUGAGGGAAAGGUGAAAAGCACCCCGGAAGGGGAGUGAAAGAGAUCCUGAAACCGUGUGCCUACAAGUAGUUAGAGCCCGUUAAUGGGUGAUAGCGUGCCUUUUGUAGAAUGAACCGGCGAGUUACGAUUGCAUGCAAGGUUAAGCUGAUAAGGCGGAGCCGCAGCGAAAGCGAGUCUGAAUAGGGCGAUAGAGUAUGUAGUUGUAGACCCGAAACCAGGUGAUCUACCCAUGUCCAGGGUGAAGGUAAGGUAACACUUACUGGAGGCCCGAACCCACGCACGUUGAAAAGUGCGGGGAUGAGGUGUGGGUAGCGGAGAAAUUCCAAUCGAACCUGGAGAUAGCUGGUUCUCUCCGAAAUAGCUUUAGGGCUAGCCUCAAUUUUGAGAAUCCUGGAGGUAGAGCACUGUUUGGACUAGGGGCCCAUCCCGGGUUACCGAAUUCAGACAAACUCCGAAUGCCAGAGAUUUAUAAUUGGGAGUCAGACUGCGAGUGAUAAGAUCCGUAGUCAAGAGGGAAACAGCCCAGACCACCAGCUAAGGUCCCCAAGUAAUUGUUAAGUGGAAAAGGAUGUGGCGUUGCUUAGACAACCAGGAUGUUGGCUUAGAAGCAGCCAUCAUUUAAAGAGUGCGUAAUAGCUCACUGGUCGAGUGACGCUGCGCCGAAAAUGUAUCCGGGGCUAAACAAUUCACCGAAGCUGUGGAUGGAUUCCGUAUGGAAUCCGUGGUAGGAGAGCGUUCUAAGGGCGUUGAAGCUAGACCGGAAGGACUGGUGGAGCGCUUAGAAGUGAGAAUGCCGGUAUGAGUAACGAAAGACGGGUGAGAAUCCCGUCCACCGAAUGACUAAGGUUUCCUGAGGAAGGCUCGUCCGCUCAGGGUUAGUCGGGACCUAAGCCGAGGCCGAUAGGCGUAGGCGAUGGAUAACAGGUUGAUAUUCCUGUACCACCACUCCACCGUUUGAGUAAUGGGGGGACGCAGAAGGAUAGGGUAAGCGUACUGUUGGUUAUGUGCGUUCAAGCAGUGAGGCGUGGAAUGAGGCAAAUCCCGUUCCUAUAACGUUGAGCUGUGAUGAGCAAGGACCAUUAGGUCGGAGUUCCUGAUUUCACACUGCCAAGAAAAGCCUCUAACGAGGUGGAAGGUGCCCGUACCGCAAACCGACACAGGUAGUCGAGGAGAGAAUCCUAAGGUGAGCGAGAGAACUCUCGUUAAGGAACUCGGCAAAAUGACCCCGUAACUUCGGGAGAAGGGGUGCUCUUUAGGGUGUAAGCCUAGGAGAGCCGCAGUGAAUAGGCCCAGGCGACUGUUUAGCAAAAACACAGGUCUCUGCAAAACCGUAAGGUGACGUAUAGGGGCUGACGCCUGCCCGGUGCUGGAAGGUUAAGAGGAGUGCUUAGCGCAAGCGAAGGUGCGAAUUGAAGCCCCAGUAAACGGCGGCCGUAACUAUAACGGUCCUAAGGUAGCGAAAUUCCUUGUCGGGUAAGUUCCGACCCGCACGAAAGGCGUAACGAUCUGGGCACUGUCUCAACGAGAGACUCGGUGAAAUUAUAGUACCUGUGAAGAUGCAGGUUACCCGCGACAGGACGGAAAGACCCCGUGGAGCUUUACUGUAGCCUGAUAUUGAAUUUUGGUACAACUUGUACAGGAUAGGUAGGAGCCUGAGAUCUCGGAGCGCCAGCUUCGGAGGAGGCGUCGGUGGGAUACUACCCUGGUUGUAUUGAACUUCUAACCCUUGCCCCUUAGCGGGGCAGGAGACAGUGUCAGGCGGGCAGUUUGACUGGGGCGGU
RNAcentral lists this ribosomal RNA (2173 nucleotides) under Paenisporosarcina indica. RNAcentral describes it as "bacterial LSU rRNA". It matches the Rfam family "Bacterial large subunit ribosomal RNA", at positions 117 to 2283 of the family's 2925-position model. Lineage: Bacteria; Bacillati; Bacillota; Bacilli; Caryophanales; Caryophanaceae. The record is from RNAcentral.